CCUACGGGUGGCAGCAGUGGGGAAUUUUGGACAAUGGGCGCAAGCCUGAUCCAGCUAUUCCGCGUGUGGGAAGACGGCCUUCGGGUUGUAAACCACUUUUGUAGAGAACGAAAAGUCUAUUGAUAAUACCGAUAGAUGAUGACGGUACUCUAAGAAUAAGCACCGGCUAACUACGUGCCAGCAGCCGCGGUAAUACGUAGGGUGCGAGCGUUAAUCGGAAUUACUGGGCGUAAAGGGUGUGCAGGCGGUUUUGCAAGAUUGAUGUGAAAGCCCCGGGCUUAACCUGGGAAAGCCAUACAUGACUGCAAGACUAGAGUGCGUCAGAGGGGGGUGGAAUUCCAAGUGUAGCAGGGAAAUGCGUAGAUAUUUGGAAGAACACCGAUGGCGAAGGCAGCCCCCUGGGACGCAACUGACGCUCAUACACGAAAGCGUGGGGAGCAAACAGGAUUAGAUACCCUUGUAGUC
RNAcentral lists this ribosomal RNA (465 nucleotides) under uncultured bacterium. Its description in RNAcentral is "partial 16S ribosomal RNA". It matches the Rfam family "Bacterial small subunit ribosomal RNA", at positions 338 to 795 of the family's 1533-position model. The record is from RNAcentral.